AACGCAUCUUGCGCUCCUUGGUAUUCUGAGGAGCAUGCCUGUUUGAGUGUCAUCAAGUUCUCAACCACCAUGUGGCUUGGAUUUGGGGGUUAUUGUUUUGCAGGCUUCAAUCAAGUCAGCUCCCUUGAAAAGCAUUAGUGGUAUCUGAGCAUAAACUACUAUAGGUGUGAUAACUAUCUAUGCCUUGGUAUAUAAUGCAUGAACCAGACUACACUGCUUGCAAACUUUUAAAAGUGACAAAUUUGACCUCAAAUCAGGUAGGACUACCCGCUGAACUUAA
This 280-nucleotide unclassified non-coding RNA is filed under the name uncultured fungus. Its description in RNAcentral is "partial contains 5.8S ribosomal RNA, internal transcribed spacer 2, and large subunit ribosomal RNA". Lineage: Eukaryota; Fungi. The record is from RNAcentral.